RNAcentral lists this ribosomal RNA (259 nucleotides) under uncultured bacterium. RNAcentral's name for it is "partial small subunit ribosomal RNA". It matches the Rfam family "Bacterial small subunit ribosomal RNA", at positions 26 to 285 of the family's 1533-position model. The record is from RNAcentral.
AGAAUCAACGCUGGCGGCGUGCCUAACACAUGCAAGUCGAACGAGAAAGGGGAGCAAUCCCUGAGUAAAGUGGCGACCGGGUGAGUAACACGUGACUAACCUACCCUCGAGUGUGGAAUAACAUCGGGAAACCGAUGCUAAUACCGCAUAACAUCGGCGCUUUUAAGAGAUGCCGAUCAAAGGAGCAAUCCGCUUGAGGAGGGGGUCGCGGCUGAUUAGCUAGUUGGCGGGUAACGGCCCACCAAGGCGAAGAUCGGUA